Hyla sarda is the source of this 707-nucleotide long non-coding RNA. RefSeq lists it as uncharacterized. Lineage: Eukaryota; Metazoa; Chordata; Amphibia; Anura; Hylidae. The transcript has 3 exons. The record is from RefSeq and is a predicted model, not a curated record.
GUUUUGAUAAAUCUCCUCCUAUAACUUUCAGGCACAUUUCUUUUCCUCCGGAGUACCCUUUUUACACUAUUAAUAGCAUUUACCAAUGAAUUAUUGCAGCUAUAAAGAGAAGUGAAAAGGAGCAAGUGGGAUUGGAACACACACGUUGCAGGAGCAGGUAGUAAUGUUCAGAAAUUCGAGAGUGGGAUGAAGCUUUCACUCAUAUUAUCUGUUCGGUACUUGACUUGUCUGAACUUGACGUGAACAGACUUGACUGAAGGACGACCUGGUCGGCAGGAAUCUGUAUGCAGGAGCCUUGUUUCUCAUCAUACAGCUGAUGCCUUUUUCCCUACACACAUAUCAGCCCCCCUCCGCCGUGCACCCCUGACCUCUGUCUUUCAUACCUUCCUGACCCUGCACUGCCUGAACAAACUCAACACAGCAGGAGAGAGAAUGGGAGUGACAGCCCGUCAGAUGUUAUCAUGGGGCUGAUGAGAGGGAGGAAGGCAGCGGUCGGACAGGGCCCCAGCUGCAAGAAUAAACUCAUCUGUUGCAGGGCAAGGAGAGAUGAGAGGUUUGGUCUCAUUAGGUUCUUACCUCAUCUCCCAGUACUCAGGGAGUCUUGUAAAUUGACUUUUGUAGGAUGCUGUAAUGUCAGCGUGGGAUUCUAAGCCGGUACACCCUUUCGGUACCAGAAAGAAUUUGCAUAUAUUAAUAAAUGGUCGAAC